GUGGUGUUGUGGUGUUGCUACACCUCCCCAGGGUUUGGGACUAGCAGUACUUUGUGGUGUUGCUACACCUUCCCAGGGUUUGGGACUAGCAGUACUUUGUGGUGUUGUUACACCUUCCCAGGGUUUGGGACUAGCAGUACUUUGUGAUGUUGAGCAGACACUCCUAUUGAGGAUUGAGAAUAGAGGUGGGUACCAACAAAUCUGAGAGAUGAAUCAAACAUGUGAUUAUUAAAUGACAAACUAUGCUGCUCUACCAAGCAAACGGCAGUAACUGCUCAUAGUGUGGAACUGAGAAAAAUAGCCUUUAUUUACCUUGGUUUCACAGUAACUUUAUGCAGUUACUGCUAACAUGACCCCCAUUUUCUCCUGAACACAAUACAAUAGAGUCAGGAUAUUUGUCCACAUGAUUAAUGUAGCAAAAGAAAUGACAUUAACUAA
Molecule: long non-coding RNA, 438 nt
Filed under: Salmo trutta (river trout)
Lineage: Eukaryota; Metazoa; Chordata; Actinopteri; Salmoniformes; Salmonidae
Description: lncRNA (ENSSTUG00000017828.1)
Source: RNAcentral